Physeter macrocephalus (sperm whale) is the source of this 1225-nucleotide long non-coding RNA. RefSeq lists it as uncharacterized. The transcript has 3 exons. Lineage: Eukaryota; Metazoa; Chordata; Mammalia; Artiodactyla; Physeteridae. The record is from RefSeq and is a predicted model, not a curated record.
GGGGGGCGUGCACUGAGUCAGUGGCCGAGUUGGCAGACGCCGCCCUGCCUCCGCGGUCCCCGGUGGGAAGUUCAGGCCGGGAGGCGCACACAUGGGCUACUUUUUAUCGUGGAUGAUGUUACUAUGGUCAUCAGCAGUCCUGUUACUAGAAGCUCCUACACGGCCAGUGUCCGCUGUGUGCCUAGCACCGUGCCUCCGGCUGGAAUGAGGUGGUUCCUUGCCUUAAGUCUGCGCAGAGCUCAAGUCUGGCUCCCUGGAAGCAGCGGGUCCCUCUGUGCCCACCUGCCCCCCAGUACCCCAAGCUCCAGUGCUGCAGGGCCAGCCUUCUUUCCAGGAAAGCUGCCCAGGCCUCCCGCUGCCUUUGCCCAAUGCUUCUAUGUGUCUGCGUUUCCUGCUUCACCCCAGACUUCGGGAUAAGGAGCCUGAGGCUAAGAAUGGAUAAACAACCCGCCCAGGGGCCGGGGUCCUGCAGCAGGGAAGCUCGGGUGGCAGCCUCAUGUGUAGUGGAAGCCCAGGACUUGAGAGCCGCAGGGGACCUGGGAGAGCAGAGCAUCCCUCAGUCGUUCAGGAAAUGAGCACGGGCUCUAGGCGCACGGGCUCCGUAGUUGUGGCGCACGGGCUUAGUUGCUCCGCGGCAUGUGGGAUCUUCCCGGACCAGGGCUCGAACCCGUGUCCCCUGCAUUGGCAGCCGGAUACUUGACCACUGCGCCACCAAGGAAGUCCCUUUCCACAGUUUUUAAACAGUGCUGUGAUGAACAUCUUUGCUGAUGUGUCCUUGGAAGCCGGCUGAGUUUUCCUCAGGGUGACCUCGCCUGGGCUGAGGACUGGGAUGCCUUUUGGCCAAAAUGCCCUCCAGGAACACCCAGCUGACAUACCGUCCACCCACGGAGUGGGGAGCAGGGCUGGACUGUGUCCUUGCGUUCGCGUCUGGCAAUCUCACAGAAAGAAGAGGAAUCUACUGCACGUUCUCUGAGUUUUGGAAAGGCAACAUGGAAAAUUCAACCUUUUUUGAAUACAAAGCUCCUUCUAUCCUGAAUCAUGUAUUCCCUUCCUAGGACGUGGGCAGGGGAAGGGUCGCCUCGGAUUGAUAAAGGGUCCUGGUUUCUCCGUGUACCAGUUAGUUUGGUGCCAUUAGAGGAAAGUCGGGCUGCGUGGAGAGCUGGGCCUUCCCCUGUGUCCCCAUCCCCUCUCUCCAUUCCAGAAGGCACUGUCUACUUUCACACUA